Molecule: long non-coding RNA, 400 nt
Filed under: Physcomitrium patens
Lineage: Eukaryota; Viridiplantae; Streptophyta; Bryopsida; Funariales; Funariaceae
Description: long non-coding RNA (PPAT_LNC005551)
Source: RNAcentral
GUUAUAAAAGAAACACAAGAAAAUCCUAAAAAAAUAUUAAAAUAAACUUAGUCAAACCUUAACAAAUAUCUAAUAGAACCUUAAAUUUUAACCAAAUCCUAAUCCUAAUCCAACGUUAAUCAAAUCCUAGACAAAUCCUAAAUCCUAAAUCAAACCCUAAUCAAACCUUAAUCCCUAACCAAACCCUAAUCCAAACCCUAAACCCUCAACCAAAUCCUAAUCCAAAUCCUAAACCCUAAACCAAAUCCUAUCCAAAUCUUAAAUCCUAAACCAAAUCCUAAUCCAAACCCCAAAUCCUAAACCAAAUCCUAAAUCCUAAAUCAAACCCUGAUCAAACCUUAAUCCCUAACCAAACCCUAAUCCAAACCCUAAAUCUUAAACCAAAUUCUAAUCUAAAUCU